AUGCUCGUGCUCGAUCUGCCGGCGUGGUUUAUCUCUUGCAUUGACAAGAUCAGACAUGGAUUCUUUUGGGGUGGGCAUGACGAGGCCAAAGGCGGGAACUGCCUUGUCAACUGGAACCUUGUUUGCUCACCUAAAACUUAUGGUGGACUCGGGAUCCACAACCUCAAGUUACUAAAUCAUGCCUUGCUCCUCAAAUGGCGCUGGUUCGAGAAGCUUGCAGAGGAGAAACCUUGGCAAGGCCUUGAUAUUACUCUGCCUGCUGAGGUUGCCAGUGUUUUU
Molecule: ribosomal RNA, 279 nt
Filed under: Triticum aestivum (bread wheat)
Lineage: Eukaryota; Viridiplantae; Streptophyta; Magnoliopsida; Poales; Poaceae
Description: partial small subunit ribosomal RNA
Source: RNAcentral